GACGAACGCUGGCGGCGUGCCUAACACAUGCAAGUCGAACGGAGUAAAACGCUGAUUUGAAGUUAGUUACUAAUGAAUUUUCUGUUUACUUAGUGGCGGACGGGUGAGUAACGCGUGAGCAACCUGCCUCUGAGAGAGGGAUAGCUUAGGGAAACUUAAGGUAAUACCUCAUGACACAUUUUUAUCGCAUGAUUUAGAUGUCAAAGAUUUAUCGCUCAGAGAUGGGCUCGCGUCCGAUUAGGUAGUUGGUGGGGUAACGGCCUACCAAGCCGACGAUCGGUAGCCGGACUGAGAGGUUGAACGGCCACAUUGGGACUGAGACACGGCCCAGACUCCUACGGGAGGCAGCAGUGGGGAAUAUUGCGCAAUGGGGGAAACCCUGACGCAGCAACGCCGCGUGAAGGAUGACGGUUUUCGGAUUGUAAACUUCAACAAUCAGGGACGAAGAAAGUGACGGUACCUGACUGAAGCCACGGCUAACUACGUG
This 487-nucleotide ribosomal RNA is filed under the name uncultured bacterium. RNAcentral's name for it is "bacterial SSU rRNA". It matches the Rfam family "Bacterial small subunit ribosomal RNA", at positions 28 to 507 of the family's 1533-position model. The record is from RNAcentral.